RNAcentral lists this ribosomal RNA (537 nucleotides) under uncultured bacterium. RNAcentral's name for it is "partial 16S ribosomal RNA". The record is from RNAcentral.
GGAGUUAGCCGGUGCUUCUUCUGUGAGUGAUGUCCUUCCUGCCGGUUAUUGACCCGCAGGCCUUCUUCCUCACUGAAAGUGCUUUACAACCCGAAGGCCUUCUUCACACACGCGGCAUGGCUGGAUCAGGGUUGCCCCCAUUGUCCAAUAUUCCCCACUGCUGCCUCCCGUAGGAGUCUGGGCCGUGUCUCAGUCCCAGUGUGGCUGAUCAUCCUCUCAGACCAGCUACGGAUCGUCGCCUUGGUGAGCCGUUACCUCACCAACCAGCUAAUCCGACAUAGGCUCAUCCGAUAGCGCGAGGCCCGAAGGUCCCCCGCUUUCCCCCGUAGGGCGUAUGCGGUAUUAGCCUGGGUUUCCCCAGGUUAUCCCCCACUACCGGGCAGAUUCCUAUGCAUUACUCACCCGUCCGCCGCUCGCCACCAGGGAGCAAGCUCCCCGUGCUGCCGCUCGACUUGCAUGUGUUAGGCCUGCCGCCAGCGUUCAAUCUGAGCCAGANACAACACUNANACAGCGGCGGUCGUCGACGACGGCGACUAG